GACAAUUAGACAAGACGAAUCGCGGGAGAUAUAACAUCUCAUCUCAAUGAGCUAAAUCUCAAGCUACAGGGGAAGGACAGCACAGUGUGUGAGCUGAUGUCAGCAGUACGGGCCUUCCAGAGGAAGCUGGAGAAUUUCAAAGUUGACCCACAGGAGAGAAUGGAACACUUCCCCAAACUUCUGGAACAGACCAAAGGAAAAGGAGAUCACAUUCAGUGUCAUGUGGAAUUCCUGGAGAAGCUGAUUGCAAAUUUCAAGACUCGUUUUGAUGACUUUACAUUAGGAAAACAAGUCCUACU
Molecule: long non-coding RNA, 299 nt
Organism: Hippocampus comes (tiger tail seahorse)
Lineage: Eukaryota; Metazoa; Chordata; Actinopteri; Syngnathiformes; Syngnathidae
Exons: 3
Source: RefSeq, a predicted model, not a curated record